Molecule: non-coding RNA, 28 nt
Filed under: Mus musculus (house mouse)
Lineage: Eukaryota; Metazoa; Chordata; Mammalia; Rodentia; Muridae
Source: RNAcentral
UGCACACAUGCCCCCUACCCUUAACUCC